AGUUUCUAGUAUGCGAGGAGGGAGAAGUCGUAACAAGGUAGCCGUAGGGGAACCUGCGGCUGGAUCACCUCCU
Molecule: ribosomal RNA, 73 nt
Filed under: Promethearchaeota archaeon
Lineage: Archaea; Promethearchaeati; Promethearchaeota
Also listed under: 3 other names
Description: Candidatus Lokiarchaeota archaeon (permafrost metagenome) partial 16S ribosomal RNA
Rfam family: Eukaryotic small subunit ribosomal RNA
Source: RNAcentral